AAAUUACUCCCUCAGUCCGAAAAUACUUGUUGAAAAAAUGCAUAAAAAUAAAUGCAUCUAGAACUAAAAUACAUCUAGAUACAUCCAUUCCUCCGACUAAUAUUUCCGAACGGAGGGAGUAUUUA
Non-coding RNA from Triticum aestivum (bread wheat), 125 nucleotides. Lineage: Eukaryota; Viridiplantae; Streptophyta; Magnoliopsida; Poales; Poaceae. The record is from Rfam.